Molecule: small nuclear RNA, 256 nt
Filed under: Ursus americanus (American black bear)
Lineage: Eukaryota; Metazoa; Chordata; Mammalia; Carnivora; Ursidae
Description: 7SK RNA (ENSUAMG00000002045.1)
Rfam family: 7SK RNA
About the family: 7SK was discovered as an abundant small nuclear RNA in the mid-70s but a possible function has only recently been suggested.
Source: Rfam by way of RNAcentral
GGUAAGAGGACACUAUGUCUGUAACUCUUUAACUCCACUGAUCACUGCCGUUGAUUCAGCUGACUUGGUCAGUAAGCAGAUGUCCCCUCUGUCCCUCACCACACCACAUCCAUCUCUCUAACCUUGAGGUUUUUUUUGUUUUUUUAUGUCCUUUCCAGACAGAGAUGAGUCAUUCCACAAUCAAGGAUAAGAGUGUCUUGGCACUUAAAGAUGGCCAUGAAUUCUUUCCUUCUUCCAUUGAGAGAUGAGAUCUAAU